CUGCCGGUGAUAAACCGGAGGAAGGUGGGGAUGACGUCAAGUCAUCAUGGCCCUUACGAGUAGGGCUACACACGUGCUACAAUGGCAGAUACAAAGAGAAGCGACCUCGCGAGAGCAAGCGGAACUCAUAAAGUCUGUCGUAGUCCGGAUUGGAGUCUGCAACUCGACUCCAUGAAGUCGGAAUCGCUAGUAAUCGUAGAUCAGAAUGCUACGGUGAAUACGUUCCCGGGCCUUGUACACACCGCCCGUCACACCAUGGGAGUGGGUUGCAAAAGAAGUAGGUAGCUUAACCUUCGGGAGGGCGCUUACCACUUUGUGAUUCAUGACUGGGGUGAAGUCGUAACAAGGUAACCGUAGGGGAACCUGCGG
RNAcentral lists this ribosomal RNA (369 nucleotides) under Proteus mirabilis. RNAcentral describes it as "bacterial SSU rRNA". It matches the Rfam family "Bacterial small subunit ribosomal RNA", at positions 1149 to 1517 of the family's 1533-position model. Lineage: Bacteria; Pseudomonadati; Pseudomonadota; Gammaproteobacteria; Enterobacterales; Morganellaceae. The record is from RNAcentral.